AGGGGUAAUAAUCUUUAAAAAUGCAUGGGGAGGCAUUUUGUGUAAAUUUCUAGUUUUUGCUGUUUACAAAAGUUAUCAGAGUAUUACUGUCUUUAUGUUUAUUCCUAAUGGUUUCUCUGGUUCCAGUUGAAAAUGAUUUGGGAAGCCCAGGAGUCUGGCUAAUAUUCUGGCUCAGUUCUCAGAAUGUGAGGUCAGUGCAGGUGGGCCGAACAAGGCCAUGGCCUUUAUCUCCAGCAUGAACACCAGGAGGGUCUUGUCAAGUGUCCUUUGCCUUUUGGGAAGCCCAACCAUGUAAUAUGGAAACUUCCAUUCUCUGGCAAGUCUUAGCAUUUUCUGCCCAAGUGCCAGGUGAGACUGAGGAGAGUGAAGACGUGUCCCCGGCAUACUGACAUGUGUUUCUGUACGGCCCCUAAUCUGAUGAAUCUUUAUCUUUUAUAGACUUAGAAUUGGUUUUAUUCUAUAGCUUUUCUUUUAGGUCAUCAGUCUUAUACUUCAAUUUCACAUAAGCGAUAUGUGUUUAUCCACAGCUUCAUACAUGCUCACUCCCACUGACUCUACU
This 559-nucleotide long non-coding RNA is filed under the name Bos taurus (domestic cattle). Its description in RNAcentral is "long non-coding RNA NONBTAT012760". The record is from RNAcentral. Lineage: Eukaryota; Metazoa; Chordata; Mammalia; Artiodactyla; Bovidae.